CCGCCACGACGGCUUCCUGACGUGGUGGGCUAUAUGUAUUGGAGCA
RNAcentral lists this non-coding RNA (46 nucleotides) under unclassified sequences. Its description in RNAcentral is "SAM-SAH-Weickhmann-2018 RNA". It matches the Rfam family "SAM/SAH riboswitch aptamer". The record is from RNAcentral.